CCCGGCCUCCUGUGGGUUCGGCGACCGUCGCGCGGCGGCUAUGGGGGCGCGGCUGGGCCGGCAGGCCGGGCCCGACGCUGGCUCCGAGGCCGGGGCGGCGGCCGGCUGCAGGCCUGCGCCCUACGAGCGCCGGGUGCGGUGGCUCCGCGAGAUCCAGUCCACGCUCGGCGAGCGGCGGCCGGAGCGCGCCCGGCAGCUGCUGCGCCUCCUGCGCCAGGACCUGGGCCUUGAGAGGACCCUCCUUCCUGAUAUCCUCUACAGAGAUGUGGCCUUCCUCAACCUGGUCGACCCCAUCUCCCAUGACCUGCUUGUGAACCUGGCCCGGGACCUGCAGUGCCCCAAGAAGGUCUCCAUCCUGUACAGACACCCUUGGGGACGGGUGCUCACUGCUUUCCCCCACAACAGCUGGGGUCAUAAGCAAGGCCCUCCUCAUUGCUGGGGUGGAGUUUGCCACCUGCAGCCUCCACCCUACAGCUGCCCAGAACCCCACUCUGAUGGCACCUGCAGAUGUCCUGCCAUGAGCAUCGACACAGCCCCAGGAUGUGUGGCUGUGACCAGCCACUGGACCCAGACUCCUAGUCACAGUGAGUCCCCAACCAAAACAAGGGUAUCCGCUCUGGGCCCUGCCAGCUCUGAAUGCCCAGGUCUGUGCACAGUCGGCCCCUAGGACUCUGCGCCUAGCCCACAGCCAUCACAGGAACGGCCAUGGCUUGCAGCUGCUGUGUGUGCUGCCUGCUCCUGGGGCUGUUCACAGAGGGACUGGAUAAAGGAUGCAGUGGAGCAUGCUCAGUGCCAGCUUUGUGGGCCGCACACCUCAGAUUCCGCCCUGAACUGGGCCUCUGCAGGAGCCCAGUUAGGACUAAGAGAGAGCCAGGUGAUGGUGCUGUAAAACAUUACAUCCCCCAGCCCUGUCAGCCCAGACCCAGACCCCGCAGGCGCAGUCUCGCUUGGAGAGUGAGAGGAAGAAGAACAUGCUGACCUGGCUUGUUCCUACUCCCUGGAAUUGGCGUCAGUGGACCACGGCUCCCUCGAGGGGCCUGGUCUGGCCUCCUCCCCCUGUGGCAAGUCCCCGAAGGGUGCUGAGGGUGGGCAGGCAGCCGGCUGAUAGCCCGAGACGCUGGCCCUGGGCCUGAGGACAGGGAACAAGGGCCCAUUGUCUGGGCUUCCUCCCGCCGGGCACUGCGGACUGGACCAGCCUGUCCAGCUCCCAGAGGGCAGCCUCCCCUGGCUCUGUGCCAGGCCACAGCUGGGUUGGGGGGUGGGAGGGGGAGGCCCUGGUGGGCAACUCGGUGAUGCAUGGUGCACGGCCGUACUCAUACACACACUUGGCUGCCCGGGCCCCUCUCCCCAAGGCCCUGAGGUGGGCAGGAGGGGCUCAGAUUCACCAUGGUGACACUGCCCUCCCACAGGACUACGAGCUCUGGAAGUCCUCGGACAAGAUCUGCCGACAACUCAUCUACCACCUCACCCCUCACUCGAAGCAGCAGCAAGGGUCCAGCCUGCGCCAGAGGAAGACCCAGAGCUGCCUCAAGAGCAGCCUCCAGAAGACUCUGCUGGCAGGGGAGACUGUGGACCUCUCAGGCAUCCCGCUGUCGACACAGGACGUGCAACACAUCACACGCUACCUGAGCACCCAUGGUGCUGUACUGGCAGUGCUGGACCUGAGCUUCACCGGGCUGAGUGAUGAGCUGCUGCACCUGCUGCUGCCCAGCCUGUGGGCGCUGCCCCGCCUCACCCAGCUCCUGCUCAACGGCAACCGACUGACACGGGCCACUGCCCACAAGCUCACUGAUGCCAUCAAGGACACCACCAAGUUCCCUGCAUUGGCCUGGGUGGACCUGGGCAACAAUGUGGAUGUGGCUUCCCUGCCCCAGCCCCUGCUGGUCGGCCUGCGCCGGCGGCUGAGCCAGCGCACCUCACUCCCCACCAUCUACGAGGGCCUGGACCUUGAGCCUGAGGGCGGUGCGGCUGGGGCCACCACCCCUGCCUCCACCUGGCACUCCACAGCUGCUGGGCUGGGACCCGAGCCCCAGGCCUGCUGCGCCAGGUGACCCACCACCCACCUGGCUCAUUGCUACUGACUUGUGAUGCUCUCAAGCACAUGAUAGUGGGCGAUGAAGGUUGAGGAGGACUCACAGGCCCCCAGAGAUCCAGUGCAAAUGCUCAGCCUGAGAUUAAGGGGACAGAAGGAGAAUGGACUCAUAGGUGGCCAGGUGGCCAGCCCCAGCUAGAGGCUCAGCCUUCUCUCAGUGGGAGGGGCCCCAGCACCCACAGGGUG
Molecule: small RNA, 2278 nt
Filed under: Pongo abelii (Sumatran orangutan)
Lineage: Eukaryota; Metazoa; Chordata; Mammalia; Primates; Hominidae
Description: retained intron
Source: RNAcentral